Molecule: ribosomal RNA, 39 nt
Filed under: Nannospalax galili (Upper Galilee mountains blind mole rat)
Lineage: Eukaryota; Metazoa; Chordata; Mammalia; Rodentia; Spalacidae
Source: RNAcentral
UGAACAUGCCUGAUCCUGCCUGAUCUCAGAAGCUAAGCA